Long non-coding RNA from Myxocyprinus asiaticus (Chinese sucker), 862 nucleotides. RefSeq lists it as uncharacterized. The record is from RefSeq and is a predicted model, not a curated record. The transcript is spliced from 4 exons. NCBI's taxonomy places the organism in Eukaryota, Metazoa, Chordata, Actinopteri, Cypriniformes, Catostomidae.
CCUGACCAGUCGUCUCCACUAUAGCAGGUGGGCAGCUCAUCCUGUGUGGGUGAGCGCCCAUCACACAUGUGAAGGGAUGUCUUCCAGGUGGCACCACGCUGCACGUGCUUCCAUUCACUCAGGCUUUGUUAGUCAGAUCUUUUAUUGCCGAAUCCGACCACCCGGACAUGGGGAACGGCUGCUGUCCACGAGGCGAGUGGGGACGGGACUCCCCGACCGCCUGGAGUGAGGGAGUCGCUGCCGGGGGCGGAGGAGUGCCCUGCCGUCCCCCGGGAACGCGGAGGGGUCGAGAGAAGACCGCCGUCCUCGGGGGGAGGAGGGAAGCGACUCCCCGACCGCCUGGAGUGGUAGGGCCGCUGCCAGGGGUGGAGGAGUGUCCCCACGGGAUGACGGGAAUGCGGAGGGGCGUUCUGUCCGCUGGGGGUCGGAGGUCUGACUGCGGUCCGCCCGGGGAGGAGCGGCUGUUGUCCGCCUGAGAGGGUGGAGGAGUGAUCAAGGACCACGCAACGGCGCAUCAGAGAACCGAAAGGCUGCGACCAUGAUGGGGUAUAAUUCAUGCAGGGCUGAGGAAUCUGCUGAUUGUGGAAGGCUGGUGAGCUCUGGGGGCCAGGUGGAUGCGAACCAGUGACCUUGGUAGAAUCCCUCGAAACCGAUGGACAGGGCGGCAUCGGUGAAAAGUUGGAUGUCUUCAGGGAAUGAGAGGCAGUCCUUGUAAAAAGAAGGGAGGCUUGAAAGACGUCUGUAUUGAGAAUGAUAUCUAGGAAUUCGAUGGAUGAAGAGGGACCUGCUGUUUUCUCAUGGGAAAUUGGAAUUCCUAAAUCGGCAAAAAGUUUCUGGACUGUACAGAGAUGGGCAGCGGGAG